RNAcentral lists this transfer RNA (80 nucleotides) under Saprospiraceae bacterium. RNAcentral describes it as "tRNA-Gly". It matches the Rfam family "tRNA". Rfam says of the family: Transfer RNA (tRNA) molecules are approximately 80 nucleotides in length. Their secondary structure includes four short double-helical elements and three loops (D, anti-codon, and T loops). Lineage: Bacteria; Pseudomonadati; Bacteroidota; Saprospiria; Saprospirales; Saprospiraceae. RNAcentral also lists the same sequence under 1 other name. The record is from RNAcentral.
UCCUCCUUAGCUCAGCCGGUUAGAGUCAUGGAAUUCCAUGAUUAAUCAGAGGGUCGUAGGUUCAAGUCCUACAGGGGGAG